RNAcentral lists this ribosomal RNA (231 nucleotides) under uncultured bacterium. RNAcentral's name for it is "partial 16S ribosomal RNA". It matches the Rfam family "Bacterial small subunit ribosomal RNA", at positions 118 to 347 of the family's 1533-position model. The record is from RNAcentral.
UGAGCAAUCUGCCCUUCUCAUCGGAAUAAGCGUUGGAAACGACGUCUAAUGCCGAAUACGACCUCCUUUCGCAUGAUCGGAGGUGGAAAGCUCCGGCGGAGAAGGAUGAGCUCGCGGCCUAUCAGCUAGUUGGUGUGGGUAACGCCCACCAAGGCGACGACGGGUAGCCGGCCUGAGAGGGUGACCGGCCACACUGGGACUGAGACACGGCCCAGACCUCCGUACGGGAGG